Long non-coding RNA from Oxyura jamaicensis (ruddy duck), 267 nucleotides. RefSeq lists it as uncharacterized. NCBI's taxonomy places the organism in Eukaryota, Metazoa, Chordata, Aves, Anseriformes, Anatidae. The transcript is spliced from 3 exons. The record is from RefSeq and is a predicted model, not a curated record.
ACGGUGCUCGUGCCCCCCGCGUGCCCCAGGUCCUCGAGCUGCUGUGUACCCGUGUCACCGUGUGUCCCCAGGUCCCUGUGACACCGCAGGUAGCACCAAGCCACCAAGGUCCUCAUGCCACCCUGUGCGCCCCGUGUCCCCAUGUCACCUGUGCCCAUGUCCCUCUGCCACCUCCUGUGUUUCCCAAGGUCCCCAUCCCCGUGCCACCUCCUGUGCCCCAGAUCCCCGUGCCACCUCCUGUGCCCCAGGUCCCCGUGCCACCUCCUG